GCCGGCAGGCAGAUUGCUCUCUGCAACUCUCACAUGGUCGCCCACUGAAUCUAAGCAGGGCUGCGCUCAGUGAGUACUUGGAUGGGAGACCACGAAAGCUAGGUUGCAGCUGGAA
RNAcentral lists this ribosomal RNA (115 nucleotides) under Danio rerio (zebrafish). The record is from RNAcentral. Lineage: Eukaryota; Metazoa; Chordata; Actinopteri; Cypriniformes; Danionidae.